UCUCCGUUGGUGAACCAGCGGAGGGAUCAUUACAGAGUUGCAAGACUCCCAAACCAUUGUGAACGUUACCUAUCCCGUUGCUUCGGCGGGCGGCCCGGGCCCCGCGCCCGGCGCCCCCCGGCCCCCCGUGGGCGCCCGCCGGAGGUAAACCAAACCCUUGAAUUGCAUGGCCUCUCUGAGUCUUCUGUACUGAAUAAGUCAAAACUUUCAACAACGGAUCUCUUGGUUCUGGCAUCGGUGAAGAACGCAGC
RNAcentral lists this unclassified non-coding RNA (251 nucleotides) under plant metagenome. Its description in RNAcentral is "partial contains small subunit ribosomal RNA, internal transcribed spacer 1, and 5.8S ribosomal RNA". The stretch from base 203 to 251 matches the Rfam family "5.8S ribosomal RNA", at positions 1 to 49 of the family's 154-position model. The record is from RNAcentral.